UCGAUGAAGAACGCAGCGAAAUGCGAUAAGUAAUGUGAAUUGCAGAAUUCAGUGAAUCAUCGAAUCUUUGAACGCACAUUGCGCCCAUUAGUAUUCUAGUGGGCAUGCCUGUUCGAGCGUCAUUUCAACCCCUAAGCACAGCUUAUUGUUGGGAACCUACGGCUUCGUAGUUCCUCAAAGACAUUGGCGGAGUGGCAGUGGUCCUCUGAGCGUAGUAAUCUUUUAUCUCGCUUCUGUUAGGUGCUGCCCCCCCGGCCGUAAAACCCCCAAUUUUUUCUGGUUGACCUCGGAUCAGGUAGGAAUACCCGCUGAACUUAAGCAUAUCAAUAAGCGGAGGA
RNAcentral lists this ribosomal RNA (338 nucleotides) under Nigrospora sphaerica. Its description in RNAcentral is "eukaryotic LSU rRNA". The stretch from base 1 to 122 matches the Rfam family "5.8S ribosomal RNA", at positions 33 to 154 of the family's 154-position model. The record is from RNAcentral. Lineage: Eukaryota; Fungi; Ascomycota; Sordariomycetes; Amphisphaeriales; Apiosporaceae.